GACGAACGCUGGCGGCGUGCUUAACACAUGCAAGUCGAACGGAAAGGCCUCUUUCGGGGGGUACUCGAGUGGCGAACGGGUGAGUAACACGUGAGUAACCUGCCCUUGACUUUGGGAUAACUUCAGGAAACUGGGGCUAAUACCGGAUAGGAGCUCCUGCUGCAUGGUGGGGGUUGGAAAGUUUCGGCGGUUGGGGAUGGACUCGCGGCUUAUCAGCUUGUUGGUGGGGUAGUGGCUUACCAAGGCUUUGACGGGUAGCCGGCCUGAGAGGGUGACCGGCCACAUUGGGACUGAGAUACGGCCCAGACUCCUACGGGAGGCAGCAGUGGGGAAUAUUGCACAAUGGGUGGAAGCCUGAUGCAGCAACGCCGGGUGCGGGAUGACGGCCUUCGGGUUGUAAACCGCUUUCGCUCAUGACGAAGCUUUGUGUGACGGUAGUGGGUAAAGAAGCACCGGCCAACUACGUG
This 467-nucleotide ribosomal RNA is filed under the name uncultured bacterium. Its description in RNAcentral is "partial 16S ribosomal RNA". It matches the Rfam family "Bacterial small subunit ribosomal RNA", at positions 28 to 507 of the family's 1533-position model. The record is from RNAcentral.